Daphnia pulex (common water flea) is the source of this 82-nucleotide non-coding RNA. The record is from Rfam. Lineage: Eukaryota; Metazoa; Arthropoda; Branchiopoda; Diplostraca; Daphniidae.
GGUAGCAUGGCCGAGUGGUCCAAGGCGCUGGUUUAAGGCACCAGUUUCUUCGGGGGCAUGGGUUCGAACCCCAUCGCUGCCA